RNAcentral lists this ribosomal RNA (433 nucleotides) under uncultured bacterium. Its description in RNAcentral is "partial 16S ribosomal RNA". It matches the Rfam family "Bacterial small subunit ribosomal RNA", at positions 29 to 507 of the family's 1533-position model. The record is from RNAcentral.
AGCGAACGCUGGCGGCAGGCCUAACACAUGCAAGUCGAACGAACUCUUCGGAGUUAGUGGCGGACGGGUGAGUAACACGUGGGAACGUGCCUUUAGGUUCGGAAUAACUCAGGGAAACUUGUGCUAAUACCGAAUGUGCCCUUCGGGGGAAAGAUUUAUCGCCUUUAGAGCGGCCCGCGUCUGAUUAGCUAGUUGGUGAGGUACAGGCUCACCAAGGCGACGAUCAGUAGCUGGUCUGAGAGGAUGAUCAGCCACAUUGGGACUGAGACACGGCCCAAACUCCUACGGGAGGCAGCAGUGGGGAAUCUUGCGCAAUGGGCGAAAGCCUGACGCAGCCAUGCCGCGUGAAUGAUGAAGGUCUUAGGAUUGUAAAAUUCUUUCACCGGGGACGAUAAUGACGGUACCCGGAGAAGAAGCCCCGGCUAACUUCGUG